AAAUCGUCCCUGGACUGAAACGAUCAAUUAGCAGCCCGAAACGCACUGUGAAGUAAAUUGUCACACUCUCUAUUACAGGAUGGUUAUCAUAUAUUUAUAAGGGACAAAGCAGAGGCCCGUUAUGAGUGAUGACGUCAAACCCAGGGAAGACUGUCAGUUAGCUCUACUUGAGAAAAGGAGGGUUAUCACCUGAUGUUCACCCACACUGCUUUAGCCAAGGGCACAAGAUGAUUAGGCCCUGUCAGGGGGCGGACUGAACCAAACCAGCCAAGCGUAUUGUACGGCGUGACCCUGCAUUGUUAAGUGUGUCAACAUAUUAACCUGAAUUCCCUUCAGCCCCCACAUAAUCACAUUUGGUGCAAGAAUAAAGGAGCUAAAACAUGAA
Molecule: long non-coding RNA, 385 nt
Organism: Mesocricetus auratus (golden hamster)
Lineage: Eukaryota; Metazoa; Chordata; Mammalia; Rodentia; Cricetidae
Exons: 4
Source: RefSeq, a predicted model, not a curated record